GGAGGAUUGGCAGCAGUUAGCUCAGGGCUAAUCUUCCUCAAAAAAAAAAAAAAAAAGAAUACAGGCAUUGGGUGACAGCGUGAGCUGAAGGCUCUGUGUUUUGAGAUGUGUAUUUCUCCCAGGAAAACCAACGAGCAGGAAGCAGCUUGCUCCUGCUCUCCCUCCUAUCCUACAGGGACAGCAGUCUGGGGCCAGAGCAGACCCCUCAGCUCUCCAUCGCAGGUCCACGGCAGACAGCACGACUCUGGAAACAUGGGUUCCCUCUUUAUGGCGUUCAGCUUGCAGAGGCAGAGGCGGGGUGACGGGAGAUGAUUCAAGAGUGACAGAGCUCCCACCCCCUCUCCCACACGCCAGUUCUGUUUAGGCCUUCCUCUUUUCGAUGCCUUAAAAGAGAAAGACUCCAUGAGCAGAGCCACAGAUAUUAAUAAUAACUGCUGCAGUUUGGUUUUCAUUUGAAUCAUGUUUACGUUGUUGGGAAAAAACCCACUUGUCUGGGAAGAUGAAGCAGGUUGAACCAAUUAAACAUAUGCCCAACAGUCAAAACUUCCCGUUUCUUGAAGGAAGUCAAGAAGCGCGGUUAGAACCGUUGGCGUUCCUAGUACCGGCCUGUCCAACGGAACUGGGGUUACAGGUCACCCGGAUUCCACAGCUCUGGACCACUGAGGCUGCCACUGUGGACGCACAUAUUUCUGGUUGCCUACUUUCUCCUUCCUCUACACACACACACACACACACACACACACGCUUUGGGGGCCUAGGCGGGACACAGAUUAGACCCAAAGCUGCUGCCCAGGUGUGUGAGAGCCUCUGCUGGGCUCCUCAGGAGACCAGGGCACAGGCCUGUGCUGCCACUGCCCACGGGCAGAGGGAGCAGAGCGGGACAUCAGGGAGUCCAAGAAGGAGAUGAGGAAAGAGAGCCCUUGGAGGGGCCAGCCAGCGCAGACAAGCACGGGCGACCGGCUCCUUUGUGGGUCUUGAGCGCUGGACUUGUCACACCCCUGGCAGCAUCAACCUGUGGGAACAGGAGUGGCCCCCUGCCUGCUUAGACACAGCUCUGGGCACAGCCCCCCGGUGGCUUUUGCAGUAUUGAUUUGUGGGUAGAAACACAGUCUUGCAAGAACUGUUUCCACAUUCAUGUGGACGGGCUUAUCUGACCCGGGCUCAGGGCAGGAAAGUCCACGGCAGCAACGGGCACACACAGACACCGCUCCCCAAGAAAGGCCUUAAUGCCAAACCCCUCGACAGCAAAGGUCUGAAUGGUGCAAAGCAAUGACGUGCAUUUUGUGCCUCUGGAUUUCUAGUCUCUUCCCAUUCUCCUGGGAUUCUGGGCUGUUGCUUGGCAGCAUUAGAUGCCCCCCUAUCUCGCUGAGCUUGUGCCCCCUGCCCCUUCACCUGGCUUACGGGCCAUUCACAGCGGCCUCCCUGCAGUUCCACGGACACAUCUCGCUGACCAUGGCCCCAUCUCAGGGCCUUUGCAGCUGCCUUUCCCUCUGCCUGUACCUCUUUUGUCAAGAUGCCACCUUGCGAAGGUGAGGACUUCCCUGCCCACUCUAUUUAAAAACGCAGCCCCCACCCAGCCCUCCCCACGCCUUGCUUUCUCUCUGGCCACCUUGCACGCUAUUCGCCUGCCCCUCUGCCAUCACUUGAGCUCCAAGUGUUGUCUGCUGUGUUCACAGCUGUAUCUCCAGUGCCCAGCACAGAAUCUAGCACAAACUAGAUGCUCAAGUACUUGUUGAAUGAGUGAAUUCAGCCAGCACUUGCCCUGUACCAGGCAAUGUGCUGAGUGGGGGCUGGGCAAACAGAAAUGGGGAAGGGUCUGUGCCCUGGAAUGCCAUCUGAUGGAGGAGACUGCCGUGCCACAUCCAGGAGAGCAGACCACACAAUGUGCAGUAAGAUGCGAGGUGGGCCUGCCAAAUCAACAUGCCCAUCUCAGCCAGCCCUGGGGCAGGACCACUCACUAAUCCACCUGGUGGACUGGGCAGUAGGAAGACCGGAGCGGUCCUCCUCAUUCAAGAGGCCAGUGAUUUGAUGCCAUCAAUGCCGAGUUACUGAGUCAAGAGCCAGCAGAGGGGAUGCAGAGGAAAACAGAGCCCAACCCCAGGGAUCCUGCACGCCUGCCAAGGCCAAGUCACCGUGCCCAGUGCCAACACCAGGCAGCUGGCAGAGCAGAUAAAGAUGCUUCCUUUUCAAAACGCAAUGAGCCCUGUGCCAGGGGACACAGCACAGGGCCAGAGCGUGGGCACGCUCUGCCCAGGCUGUCCCUCCCUCGUCUAAGGCCCAAAGUCUCUGAGAUGCCUGCCUUCCAGAAUUGCCCACCUGCUAUUUUACUGGGAGUCUCUCCCACUCCCUCCACCUCCUCCCUACCCACACCUAAAAUAUAUAAAGUGAAGCAAAAUCAGGAAGCCCCUCAAAGCAGGCAGCCCACCUCCGAGGAGGGGCUGCAGCCCUAGGAAAGGAAGUUUCUAGCCACCUUGGUGGGGGGACAGGGGGAGGAGGAAGGUGAGAACUGUGAGGGCCCCAGGUGAACAGCUGAAGAGAAAGCCCUGGGUGUGGGGGCAGCUGGUCCCGCCAGCGGGGAAGUGGCUAGGAGGCCACCAAGGGCAAAUGUGCUUCAGGGAGCAAAGGGAAGGAGGGAGGGAGAGUGGCCAGUGGAACAGGCACCAGGAAGUUCUCAAGCUGCAGCCCAGAGCCUCCCCAGUGUGGGCUGCCCAGGCCUCCUCAUUUCUCCUCCCUUGCAGGACUAAGUGUCCUUUCUGUGAACAGGCUCCAGGCUGUCUCUCCUACUUGUCUUCCUUGGGGCAAAGGUUACACCUCCCGGCCUACUUACCUGGCCUGGCUAGUCCCGUCCCUCCCCCAGGCACACGCUGGCCUUAGUCACUCACCCCACCCUCUCCACCAAAGCCCAGGGUCCCCCAGAUUACCAAGCUGUUCGCCAGUAGGCAUUUGCCCAAGCUGUGCUGCCUGCUACCCAAGUCCCAAGUUCUCCACUGGCUUCUCGAUUCCUCCAAGUGCCCCAACCUCGGUGAACUCACAGGGACCCCAGAGACAACCCAGAAGUUGGGCAGGGAAUAAUUUGACACAGGUUUUCAGUCUCCCCACGGCCUGCAAAUGCCUUGAGGGCAGGAAAGUGUCCGUGUAUAACAGUCCCUGGGCACAUAAUGAACCUUGCAUGAAUGCCAGCUCAGCACGGUAGGGUUUGGGCCAGUCUGUCUGGGACUGGUGCCCGGCAGAUGACAAGACCCCAGAUAAUGGCAAUGACUCAAGGACUCCACCAAGGCUGGGUAGAUGGUUACAGAGAGGCGCCUACUGCUCAGGUGUGACAUCCACACAGCUGGUAAACCUUUGAGGUUCAUUCUUCCUCAAGCUGAUAGUCACUGUAAUCUGUUUCAGGAGGGAAGGACCUGGGGAUGAGCCCACCUGCCCCCUUGCCAGGGGCCCAAGAUGUGAGCACCUGCCUCCAGGAAGGGAGGCCAGAGGCUUGGAUCUCUGGGCACCAGCCCAGGGGUUUGCCAGGCUGAGCACAGGAACCCAGCCCCCUCGAGCUCCUUUCAGGAAGAGGUCUAUAAAUAAGUCAGUCAAGGAACGGGCACGUCCCUCAGGCCCCAGUGAUGUGAACCCUCCAGCCGUCUGUGGGAGAGCAGGGCUAGGGAAAAGGGGAAAUGGGCAAAGAGGUACGCUGGAGGGUGUGCAGGAUGAGAAGGAAUAAAGGCCGGGCUGAGUAAGGACCAGGUUCCCAUAGCACAGACGGGGUUCUCCAGAGACUGCUCCGCCAAGACCUCGGAGAUACCUGUCGUCCGCAGAGAAGCGGCUGUGACAACAGCAACUACUACCGGGGCGGACCCGCCGGCUCUGGGGGCCCAGAAGGAGAAGGGCUGGGAGCCCGCGCACACCUCCGGCCUCAGCCGCAUCUCGUCUGGGAAGGGGCAGGGCUCCGUCCCCAAGCCCCACACUAGGCUCGCCCUGCCUCUUGCCCGGCAGUGCCCCUGCGAGAGCCGAGGGAAGCCCGGGAACAGGCUCGGUGCAGCCGCCAAGAGCUGCGGAAAAACUUCGUCCGCGCGCAGCCCCCUUCGGGACUCGGCGGGGCCCACGGCUGGGAGCGGGGGCAACACCAGCCCGGGAGGGGCAGGUCCCCCUAAAGCACUUUUUUUAACUGCGCCGAAGACAGGGGGCCACCUCUCCUCGCGCCCCGGGGCUAGGGCUGGCCACCCUCGCACCUGAGCGCAGGCAGAGGGCCCGGAGGGGGCGGCGGAGGCAGCGGCUUCUCCUCCGUGGCCGAGCGAGCCUGGACGCAGGUAAGCUGACCUCCCGGGCCGGGGCCGAGAGGGCGGACACUCCUGGGGCGGGAGCCGGCGCCCGGCCCGCCUGCGGACCAAGUUCCGCACUCCGGCAACUUCCCUGGCCCCGGGGCCGCGGGCCGGGCCAGGUGCGCGUCGCCGGAGCCCCGCGAGCCCGAGUCCCCGUCCGCAGCUUACCUGGCCCCCGUGGGCGGGCGGGGUGCGCAUCCCCAGUCUGGCCGCGGUCGGUGCGCUGCGGAGGGGCAGGGAGGCAGCGGACAGCGCGGAGGGCUCAGGGACAGUCCCCUUCGCGCCGCGGCCGCUCGCACGGUUCGGCACCGCUCGAGAGUGCCGGCCCCACCCCCACCCGCGCCCGUUGCCGGGAGACCCGCGUGGGCCGAAGGGCUCUUUGUAUCAAAGGCGCUGUGACAUCACGAGGUGCCCGGGCUGGGGGAUCGAGGGGGCGGGGCCUCGCGCGGGGGGCGGGGCCGGAGGAGGAGGAAGCGCGGCCUGGGAACCCGAGCCGCGGGGGGCGGGGCCCAGGUAACCCCGCCCCCGAAGGUAGGGGCAGGUGGCCGGGUGGCUCCCGCCAAUGGCCACGCGGCCGCGGGGCGGGCCCGGGCGACCCGCAGGCGCCUCGGGAGGUGGAGCCCGCUUGGGCCCGCCGGAGCCCGCGUCGCCAGGUUCCUGCCCCCUCCCCCGGGCCCUGGGAUUCCAGGACGGAGCCUGUGCGUUCACGUGCCUGCCUGCGGGCGCUGUCGCCGCCGCUGCUGUUUGCGGUCACCGCGCUGGGAGAUUCCGGUCAGCGCUUCCAGCCUCACAUUUGCGGACCCAAAUGAAGACCCGCCAACCCCCUACCUCUCUCGCCCACCACCACCACCAGCCUGAGUCUAGUGGCUCCUAAAUUGAUUCUUAUCCUGAAUCCCACCUAAAAAAAAAAAAACAAAGAGGGAGGGACCCCUUCUGAUGAAUCUUAGUAGACACAAUUUAAAUUAAAAACGCGCCCCGCUCAUAACUCUUCACUAUGCUGCAGAUUAAAACAAGGCAAAGAUGUAAAGCAA
Molecule: non-coding RNA, 5335 nt
Organism: Equus caballus (horse)
Lineage: Eukaryota; Metazoa; Chordata; Mammalia; Perissodactyla; Equidae
Source: RefSeq, a predicted model, not a curated record